AAACCAACAGGGAUUGCCUCAGUAACGGCGAGUGAAGCGGCAACAGCUCAAAUUUGAAAUCUGGCCUCACGGUCCGAGUUGUAAUUUGUAGAGGAUGCUUUUGGCGAGGUGCUUUCCGAGUUCCCUGGAACGGGACGCCAUAGAGGGUGAGAGCCCCGUACGGUAAGACCACCGAGCCUCUGUAAAGCUCCUUCGACGAGUCGAGUAGUUUGGGAAUGCUGCUCUAAAUGGGAGGUGUACGUCUUCUAAAGCUAAAUACCGGCCAGAGACCGAUAGCGCACAAGUAGAGUGAUCGAAAGAUGAAAAGCACUUUGAAAAGAGGGUUAAAAAGUACGUGAAAUUGUUGAAAGGGAAGCAUUCAUGACCAGACUUGGGCUUGGUUGAACAUCCGGCGUUCUCGCCGGUGCACUCUGCCAGUCCAGGCCAGCAUCAGUUUGCCCCGGGGGACAAAGGCGGUGGGAAUGUGGCUCCCUUCGGGGAGUGUUAUAGCCCGCCGUGUAAUGCCCUGGGGCGGACUGAGGAACGCGCUUCGGCACGGAUGCUGGCGUAAUGGUCAUCAAUGAC
This 564-nucleotide ribosomal RNA is filed under the name Sarocladium sp. OTU45 TS-2013. RNAcentral's name for it is "eukaryotic LSU rRNA". It matches the Rfam family "Eukaryotic large subunit ribosomal RNA", at positions 62 to 648 of the family's 3401-position model. The record is from RNAcentral. Lineage: Eukaryota; Fungi; Ascomycota; Sordariomycetes; Hypocreales; Sarocladiaceae.